RNAcentral lists this ribosomal RNA (223 nucleotides) under uncultured bacterium. RNAcentral's name for it is "partial 16S ribosomal RNA". It matches the Rfam family "Bacterial small subunit ribosomal RNA", at positions 524 to 745 of the family's 1533-position model. The record is from RNAcentral.
GACAGAGGUGCCAAGCGUUAGGCGGAAUCACUGGGCUUAAAGCGUGUGUAGGCGGAUUUCUAAGUACCUUGUGAAAUCCCACGGCUCAACCGUGGAACUGCUUGGUAUACUGGAUAUCUUGAGCCACUCAGGGGCGAGCGGAACAAAUGGUGGAGCGGUGAAAUGCGCAGAUAUCAUUUGGAACACCAAAGGUGAAAACAGCUCGCUGGGGGUGUGGCUGACG